GAUCAACAGGUCAUUAUCAACCUUUUUUUUUUCAAAUCGAAAAUGAGAUUCAUUGAUGAAAUUUAAUGUACAUGGUUCAAGCCCAACUUCAACAAUAAGCCUUAGCUAAUCUCCAACACCCCCAAAUCCACAUAAAGAAAAACCUUGUUUGCUAUUAUCACGGAGAUGGAAUAUAAAUUUUGGUAUAAGCUAAUGGCAUAGUGAAUUUUGAUUUGUUU
This 218-nucleotide unclassified non-coding RNA is filed under the name Hevea brasiliensis (rubber tree). Lineage: Eukaryota; Viridiplantae; Streptophyta; Magnoliopsida; Malpighiales; Euphorbiaceae. The record is from RNAcentral.